GCCGGGGAGGGGCGGGCACGGUGCAGCGCCGCCUCCCGUUCGCCUCUGCGCCUGGCCCGGCGACUGCGGGCGCUGCGGUCCACUGGGUCCGCCUCUUCCCGGCAUGGGUUUCUGCCCAGCUCACCCGCUGUCAGCUGGGGUCCUGCUCUGGUGGGAGGAAGAGGCUCAGACGCUUCCCUGCCCUCUCGCCUCAACCACCUCGAGGCAGCGGCUCCCAGGAUGUGCACUUUGACGACUAAAGCUGAGCCGGCGCCGCCACGACCUUGGGCGGGUGGUCGGCCUCUGCCCUGAGCAGGAAGUAGAAAGUCUCAGCAGACCCUUCCUGAGGGCCGAGCAACAGUGUAGUGGCGUAUUCCACAUAGCAAACAGGGACCCUGGGAGCAUCUGUGUUCUCGUGUUCUUCUUGCCUGUGAGGCCUCUUCUCUCUGAGGACAGAUGGUAGGACAGAGAGAAGACAGCAAAUGGAAAACAAAGGCUGCUAUUUUUUUGUGGGGCAGCAUUUCUUCCUGUGACAAUAUGGUGUAAGACAAAAUUGUGGCCUGCCAUGAAGUUGUGAGAGAAAAGCAUCCCUCAUUUCUUCAGGAAAGGCCACUGCCGUUCCCUCCGGCUCCUCUUCUCAGGAGUUUGUGCAUC
This 633-nucleotide long non-coding RNA is filed under the name Pan troglodytes (chimpanzee). RNAcentral's name for it is "long non-coding RNA NONPTRT001164". Lineage: Eukaryota; Metazoa; Chordata; Mammalia; Primates; Hominidae. The record is from RNAcentral.